This 1107-nucleotide unclassified non-coding RNA is filed under the name Hevea brasiliensis (rubber tree). Lineage: Eukaryota; Viridiplantae; Streptophyta; Magnoliopsida; Malpighiales; Euphorbiaceae. The record is from RNAcentral.
UGAGUAUUGAAAUUAAUUAGGCGCAUAGCAGAUGUGGUAUGAUGCAUGUAACCUAGAAGAAAAUUUUUUGAAAUUCAAUGUUCUAAUGAACAACUUUCAUGCUUCCGCUCCUUCAGAUAUCUUUUGGUAAAAUUGGUUUCAACUGAUAAUUGAACUCGAGACUUUAUUUUUCAAUAUCAAUAAUACUCUCUUGCAGUUGCAGUUGCUUAUUUAGGAGGGCAGAAAGUAAUAACAUAGCGAGAAGCCCUGCAUUUGUUAAGGCUGCUAGACUCAUCAAAAGCAUAACUGUAAGCCUUUGGGCAUAUUGCCUUGAAGAGAUGUGCAAAAAGGGUUGGCUUGCAAGUCUUUGGAUUUCCAUACUCCCCUGUGCAGCAAUACUUAGCCGAUUGCAUAGCCAAGCAAGCACUUUUGCACCCCACUAUUUUACCAUCUCUUUUCACUUCCAGAGCAGAUGGACAGCAAAUGUUGACAUCAACCUUACAUGAUGCUACUCCACAUCCUAUUCCACCCCCAACUGGUGCCAUUGAAACUGGCAAAUUGAACCCAUCAACCAAACUUACAUCAUAGAAGUGCAAGGGAGAAGUAGAAGAUCCCAGAGUCAUUUCCACGAUAGUUGCUGGGGGUGCACCUCCGGCGCCUUGGCAGUGAAGUAAGCCAGAGCAAUCUCCUGUGUCACAUGACCCUUUACCAUUUUUAUCAAAGGAACAUCCUUGCCUACCCCAUAUCCUCCCUGACCACUUUUGGGGUAAAUCAAGGACUAUUUCCUCUCCGCUGCCCAGAUGAAAACCACCAUCUUUGGGAGUUUGGUGACCUGCACCUCCAAGAACUCCAGGCCAUAUGCUUUCAUUGCAGUUGUUUACGAUAAUGAGCUGUCCCCCAAUUGCAGAGGAGGAAGAAGCCAAAUGGAAGAGAAGAAGGGAGACAAGAACUGAAGCAGAAGAAGAAGAUGGCAGCAGCAUUUUCUUUUAUUCUUUGGAUUCAAUUUAGAAGAUGUUACUUCAAUUUGUAGUAGAGUGGGAGCGUGACAGGAAACGCUAAGCUUCUUAAGGUGAAAACACUUAGCGACCCCUUGCUUUUCUUUUCACUUUCACUUUCACGAGAAGUAUA